Molecule: ribosomal RNA, 253 nt
Filed under: uncultured bacterium
Lineage: Bacteria
Description: partial 16S ribosomal RNA
Rfam family: Bacterial small subunit ribosomal RNA
Source: RNAcentral
UACAGAGGUGGCAAGCGUUGUUCGGAAUUACUGGGCGUAAAGGGCGCGUAGGCGGCCUACUAAGUCAGACGUGAAAUCCCCAGGCUUAACUUGGGAACUGCGUCUGAUACUGGAAGGCUUGAGUGCGGGAGAGGGAUGUGGAAUUCCAGGUGUAGCGGUGAAAUGCGUAGAUAUCUGGAGGAACACCGGUGGCGAAGGCGGCAUCCUGGACCGACACUGACGCUGAGGCGCGAAAGCUAGGGGAGCAAACAGG